Molecule: transfer RNA, 82 nt
Filed under: Cyanobacteria bacterium SW_11_48_12
Lineage: Bacteria; Bacillati; Cyanobacteriota
Description: tRNA-Leu
Rfam family: tRNA
About the family: Transfer RNA (tRNA) molecules are approximately 80 nucleotides in length. Their secondary structure includes four short double-helical elements and three loops (D, anti-codon, and T loops).
Source: RNAcentral
GCGGACGUGGCGGAAUUGGUAGACGCGCUAGAUUUAGGUUCUAGUUCCGCAAGGCGUGAGAGUUCGAGUCUCUCCGUCCGCA